UACGUAGGUGGCGAGCGUUGUCCGGAUUUACUGGGCGUAAAGAGCGCGCAGGCGGUCGUUCAAGUCGCGUGUGAAAGACCCCGGCUCAACUGGGGAGGGUCGUGCGAUACGGGCGGACUGGAGGCCAGUAGGGGGAUGCGGAAUUCCGGGUGUAGUGGUGGAAUGCGUAGAGAUCCGGAGGAACACCAGCGGCGAAGGCGGCAUCCUGGACUGGUCCUGACACUCAGGAGCGAAAGCCAGGGGAGCAAACGGG
This 253-nucleotide ribosomal RNA is filed under the name uncultured bacterium. RNAcentral describes it as "partial 16S ribosomal RNA". It matches the Rfam family "Bacterial small subunit ribosomal RNA", at positions 524 to 776 of the family's 1533-position model. The record is from RNAcentral.